RNAcentral lists this ribosomal RNA (235 nucleotides) under uncultured bacterium. RNAcentral describes it as "partial 16S ribosomal RNA". It matches the Rfam family "Bacterial small subunit ribosomal RNA", at positions 118 to 347 of the family's 1533-position model. The record is from RNAcentral.
UGAGUAACCUGCCCUUAACUCUGGGAUAAGCCUGGGAAACUGGGUCUAAUACCGGAUAUGACUCCUCAUCGCAUGGUGGGGGGUGGAAAGCUUUAUUGUGGUUUUGGAUGGACUCGCGGCCUAUCAGCUUGUUGGUGAGGUAAUGGCUCACCAAGGCGACGACGGGUAGCCGGCCUGAGAGGGUCGACCGGCCACACUGGGACUGAGACACGGCCCAGACCUCCUACGGGAGCAG